This 535-nucleotide small RNA is filed under the name Alternaria tenuissima. RNAcentral's name for it is "eukaryotic LSU rRNA". The stretch from base 160 to 313 matches the Rfam family "5.8S ribosomal RNA". The record is from RNAcentral. Lineage: Eukaryota; Fungi; Ascomycota; Dothideomycetes; Pleosporales; Pleosporaceae.
UAUGAAGGCGGGCUGGAACCUCUCGGGGUUACAGCCUUGCUGAAUUAUUCACCCUUGUCUUUUGCGUACUUCUUGUUUCCUUGGUGGGUUCGCCCACCACUAGGACAAACAUAAACCUUUUGUAAUUGCAAUCAGCGUCAGUAACAAAUUAAUAAUUACAACUUUCAACAACGGAUCUCUUGGUUCUGGCAUCGAUGAAGAACGCAGCGAAAUGCGAUAAGUAGUGUGAAUUGCAGAAUUCAGUGAAUCAUCGAAUCUUUGAACGCACAUUGCGCCCUUUGGUAUUCCAAAGGGCAUGCCUGUUCGAGCGUCAUUUGUACCCUCAAGCUUUGCUUGGUGUUGGGCGUCUUGUCUCUAGCUUUGCUGGAGACUCGCCUUAAAGUAAUUGGCAGCCGGCCUACUGGUUUCGGAGCGCAGCACAAGUCGCACUCUCUAUCAGCAAAGGUCUAGCAUCCACUAAGCCUUUUUUUCAACUUUUGACCUCGGAUCAGGUAGGGAUACCCGCUGAACUUAAGCAUAUCAAUAAGCGGAGGAA